GAUGAACGCUAGCUACAGGCUUAACACAUGCAAGUCGCAGGGUAACACGAGGAAAGCUUGCUUUCCUUGAUGACGACUGGCGCACGGGUGAGUAACGCGUAUCCAACCUUCCCAUAACUACGGGAUAACCCGUUGAAAGACGGCCUAAUACCGUAUGAUAUCGUUUGCUGACAUCAAAUAACGAUUAAAGGUUUAGCGGUUAUGGAGGGGGAUGCGUCUGAUUAGCUUGUUGGCGGGGUAACGGCCCACCAAGGCGACGAUCAGUAGGGGUUCUGAGAGGAAGGUCCCCCACAUUGGAACUGAGACACGGUCCAAACUCCUACGGGAGGCAGCAGUGAGGCAUAUUGGUCAAUGGGCGAGAGCCUGAACCAGCCAAGUAGCGUGCAGGAUGACGGCCCUAUGGGUUGUAAACUGCUUUUAUGUGGGGAUAAAGUGCGUGACGUGUCAUGCAUUGCCGGUACCACAUGAAUAAGGACCGGCUAAUUCCGUG
Molecule: ribosomal RNA, 490 nt
Filed under: uncultured bacterium
Lineage: Bacteria
Description: partial 16S ribosomal RNA
Rfam family: Bacterial small subunit ribosomal RNA
Source: RNAcentral